RNAcentral lists this ribosomal RNA (253 nucleotides) under uncultured bacterium. RNAcentral's name for it is "partial 16S ribosomal RNA". It matches the Rfam family "Bacterial small subunit ribosomal RNA", at positions 524 to 776 of the family's 1533-position model. The record is from RNAcentral.
UACGGAGGGAGCUAGCGUUGUUCGGAAUUACUGGGCGUAAAGCGCGCGUAGGCGGCUUUGUAAGUUAGAGGUGAAAGCCCGGAGCUCAACUCCGGAACUGCCUUUAAGACUGCAUCGCUUGAAUCCGGGAGAGGUGAGUGGAAUUCCGAGUGUAGAGGUGAAAUUCGUAGAUAUUCGGAAGAACACCAGUGGCGAAGGCGGCUCACUGGACCGGUAUUGACGCUGAGGUGCGAAAGCGUGGGGAGCAAACAGG